AUGCUUGUAGCGAAAAGACAGCGCCGGGAGGCAUGGCUUGAGGGCACGGCUGGAACCUCAAACACUGUAGCCGAGGAGGGAGCAUGGAAAACUCUGUGGAAGACCCAGUUUCCGGCAAAGGUUAGGAUGUUCCUCUGGCGCUUAUCAAGGCACUCUCUUCCCACGGAGGAUAUCAGGGCUCAUCGACACAUGGCUGAUAACGCUCAAUGCGGAUUAUGCGGCUCUCCUGACUCAUGGAGACAUUCUCUGGUAAACUGCACUAGCUCGAGAUGUGUGUGGGCGCUAGUUGAUGAGGAGCUAGCACAAAGCCUGGUGUCAAAUACGGAACCCAACGCCAAGCAGUGGCUCUUCACCUUCAUGCAGUCACUGGCUCAUGAUCAGUUUGUACUGCUUGCAGUCACACUCUGGGCGAUAUGGACUGCGCGGCGCAAGGCUAUUCAUGAAGGAAUUUUUCAAUCACCUCAAGCAACUAAUUCCUUUGUCAGGCGAUUCAUUGAUGAACUCAACAUGAUUACUGUGAGAAGCCCGACGAGGAAUACAAUGGGGCAACGGGCUGUUCGGCCCAAGGCUCCCCAUGCGGGUUUUGCUAAGAUCCACGUAGAUGCUGGAGUAAGAGCAAGGAAGGGUGGAUCAGCAGCGGCAGUUUGCAGGGAUGGGCAAGGUAACUACCUAGGCAGCUCCGCAUUGGUGGUAGCUGGCCUAGAGGACCCUGCAAUACUUGAGGCAGUUGCAUGUAGAGAGGCUUUGGCGCUGGCGGUAGAUCUUAAUCUUCAUAAUUUCGUCAUUGCAUCCGACUCCAAGCAAACUGUGGCUGAUAUUUCAUGUGGAGGCAAAGGAAGGAAUGGUUCUAUUAUCCAGGAGAUUAAUGUUAGAGCAACUUUAUUUCAGUGUAAUUUUUCUUUUGAAGGUUGUGCUGCUAAUGUCGAAGCACAUAAACUAGUCAAAUACUCACUUAGUCUCGGCCCGGGGCGCCACCUCUGGUUAGGCCAACCCCAUGAUCCGAGUUGUAUCCCACCCAUUGUGGUCUUUGAUAAAUAA
Molecule: ribosomal RNA, 1038 nt
Filed under: Triticum aestivum (bread wheat)
Lineage: Eukaryota; Viridiplantae; Streptophyta; Magnoliopsida; Poales; Poaceae
Description: partial small subunit ribosomal RNA
Source: RNAcentral